Molecule: transfer RNA, 72 nt
Filed under: Triticum dicoccoides
Lineage: Eukaryota; Viridiplantae; Streptophyta; Magnoliopsida; Poales; Poaceae
Description: tRNA tRNA-Asn
Rfam family: tRNA
About the family: Transfer RNA (tRNA) molecules are approximately 80 nucleotides in length. Their secondary structure includes four short double-helical elements and three loops (D, anti-codon, and T loops).
Source: RNAcentral
CCCUCGGUAGCUCAGUGGUAGAGCAGUCGGCUGUUAACUGACCGGUUGUAGGUUCGAAUCCUACUUGGGGAG